GAUUCCAUGAAAGGAAGACUCAUCUAUGGUGGUGGAAAAAUAACCAACAUUAUUCGCAUGAAUGAUCCAUCAACCAACAAAUAAUAUACUAUUCAAUAAUUGUAGAGACAAAAUAAACAAGGGUGUGCAGAUGAAUAAAUGAAAUUGAAAUGAAUUGUGGCAUCCCUAUAUUCAUAAUUUUGAUAUAACCAUCAUUCAGGGAGUACAUAAUCAUGAAAAUAUAAUUAAUUCCUUCAAAUUGUGUAUAGAUGUGUAUGUUGCAAUCAACCAUGUGAUAAGAGAGGCAACAUAACCAAUGAUAAUUAACAUCUUCAAGUUGAUGCAGCCAUGACCUAAAGUAAAAUAAAACAAAAUUCCUUCCUAUUUUACUUUUACAACUUUCCAAGUUCAACAGCAUUACCCAUUCAAAGGAAACAUGACAUAUAUGAGGCGAAGACACUAUAUUGACUUAAAUUGACUUUAAGAAAAUGCAUUGAAGAGUUUUACAUAGAGAACAACAACAGCAAUUAAGCCUAACCCUAAACCAGUAAGGUUCAGAUAUAUUGAUAUUUUUUUGUCAUUUAGCUCUGUUAGACACCACGUCCAUAUCAAUAUCCAAAACCUGUAAAUCCAUUGAUACCCCUCUAACAUAGA
Molecule: unclassified non-coding RNA, 633 nt
Filed under: Hevea brasiliensis (rubber tree)
Lineage: Eukaryota; Viridiplantae; Streptophyta; Magnoliopsida; Malpighiales; Euphorbiaceae
Source: RNAcentral